AUUGAACGCUGGCGGCAUGCCUUACACAUGCAAGUCGAACGGCAGCACGGGUGCUUGCACCUGGUGGCGAGUGGCGAACGGGUGAGUAAUACAUCGGAACAUGUCCUGUAGUGGGGGAUAGCCCGGCGAAAGCCGGAUUAAUACCGCAUACGAUCUACGGAUGAAAGCGGGGGACCUUCGGGCCUCGCGCUAUCGGGUUGGCCGAUGGCUGAUUAGCUAGUUGGUGGGGUAAAGGCCUACCAAGGCGACGAUCAGUAGCUGGUCUGAGAGGACGACCAGCCACACUGGGGCUGAGACACGGCCCAGACUCCUACGGGAGGCAGCAGUGGGGAAUUUUGGACAAUGGGCGAAAGCCUGAUCCAGCAAUGCCGCGUGUGUGAAGAAGGCCUUCGGGUUGUAAAGCACUUUUGUCCGGAAAGAAAUCCUUGGCCCUAAUACGGUCGGGGGAUGACGGUACCGGAAGAAUAAGCACCGGCUAACUACGUG
Molecule: ribosomal RNA, 486 nt
Filed under: uncultured bacterium
Lineage: Bacteria
Description: partial 16S ribosomal RNA
Rfam family: Bacterial small subunit ribosomal RNA
Source: RNAcentral